This 220-nucleotide ribosomal RNA is filed under the name uncultured bacterium. RNAcentral describes it as "partial 16S ribosomal RNA". It matches the Rfam family "Bacterial small subunit ribosomal RNA", at positions 57 to 305 of the family's 1533-position model. The record is from RNAcentral.
GCAAGUCGAGCGCACCCUUCGGGGCGAGCGGCGGACGGGUUAGUAACGCGUGGGAACAUACCCUUUUCUAUGGAAUAGCCUCGGGAAACUGAGAGUAAUACCAUAUACGCCCUUCGGGGGAAAGAUUUAUCGGAGAAGGAUUGGCCCGCGUCUGAUUAGAUAGUUGGUGGGGUAAUGGCCUACCAAGUCCACGAUCAGUAGCUGGUUUUAGAGGAUGAUC